UGUACAGUGGCAGGGGCUCGAGGUUAAACCAAAUAAUAAAUAAUCAGCUCAUUGCCUUGGUUUUUUCUGUUUCUUUCUUCUUCAUCUUCUUGGAUUCUAACUAUUGAUGAUGUUUCCAGUGAGCUAGACCAACAAAGCUUGUUAGAGAUACUGAAAUGAUAGCACCAUGUCCAGCAGCAAUACUUUAUCCAACAAGUGGAGGCAACAUCCAUUGUUUCAGAGCGAUGA
This is a long non-coding RNA of Humulus lupulus (European hop), 228 nucleotides long. RefSeq lists it as uncharacterized. Lineage: Eukaryota; Viridiplantae; Streptophyta; Magnoliopsida; Rosales; Cannabaceae. The transcript is spliced from 2 exons. The record is from RefSeq and is a predicted model, not a curated record.